UGGGGAAUAUUGGACAAUGGGCGCAAGCCUGAUCCAGCCAUGCCGCGUGAGUGAGGAAGGCCCUAGGGUUGUAAAGCUCUUUCACCGGUGAAGAUAAUGACGGUAACCGGAGAAGAAGCCCCGGCUAACUUCGUGCCAGCAGCCGCGGUAAUACGAAGGGGGCUAGCGUUGUUCGGAUUUACUGGGCGUAAAGCGCACGUAGGCGGACUAUUAAGUCAGGGGUGAAAUCCCGGGGCUCAACCCCGGAACUGCCUUUGAUACUGGUAGUCUUGAGUUCGAGAGAGGUGAGUGGAAUUCCGAGUGUAGAGGUGAAAUUCGUAGAUAUUCGGAGGAACACCAGUGGCGAAGGCGGCUCACUGGCUCGAUACUGACGCUGAGGUGCGAAAGCGUGGGGAGCAAACAGG
Molecule: ribosomal RNA, 404 nt
Filed under: Actinomycetes bacterium
Lineage: Bacteria; Bacillati; Actinomycetota; Actinomycetes
Description: Actinobacteria bacterium partial 16S ribosomal RNA
Rfam family: Bacterial small subunit ribosomal RNA
Source: RNAcentral